ACGCUCGACACCUACUGGAGGCAGCAGUGGGGAAUAUUGCACAAUGGGGGAAACCCUGAUGCAGCGACGCCGCGUGGAGGAAGAAGGUCUUCGGAUUGUAAACUCCUGUUGUUGGGGAAAAAGAGGAUGGUACCCAACAAGGAAGUGACGGCUAACUACGUGCCGNAGCCGCCGGUAAGUACUGAGCGGGCGUGGCGAAGGACG
This 204-nucleotide ribosomal RNA is filed under the name uncultured bacterium. Its description in RNAcentral is "partial 16S ribosomal RNA". It matches the Rfam family "Bacterial small subunit ribosomal RNA", at positions 328 to 544 of the family's 1533-position model. The record is from RNAcentral.